GAUGAACGCUAGCGGCAGGCUUAACACAUGCAAGUCGAGGGGUAUUGGUUUUCGGACCAAGAGACCGGCGCACGGGUGCGUAACGCGUAUGCAAUCUACCUUUUGCAGAGGGAUAGCCCCAGAGAAAUUUGGAUUAAUACCUCAUAGUAUAGUACUUUGGCAUCAAGGAACUAUUAAAGUCACAACGGCAAAGAUGAGCAUGCGUCCCAUUAGCUAGUUGGUAAGGUAACGGCUUACCAAGGCUACGAUGGGUAGGGGUCCUGAGAGGGAGAUCCCCCACACUGGUACUGAGACACGGACCAGACUCCUACGGGAGGCAGCAGUGAGGAAUAUUGGACAAUGGGCGCAAGCCUGAUCCAGCCAUGCCGCGUGCAGGAUGACGGUCCUAUGGAUUGUAAACUGC
Molecule: ribosomal RNA, 403 nt
Filed under: uncultured bacterium
Lineage: Bacteria
Description: bacterial SSU rRNA
Rfam family: Bacterial small subunit ribosomal RNA
Source: RNAcentral